CCCUUAGAUGUUCUGGGCCGCACGCGCGCUACACUGAUGCCUUCAACGAGUCUAAAACCUGCUCUGAUAGGGGUGGGUAAUCUUUUGAAUGUGCAUCGUGAUUGGGAUAGAUGAUUGCAAUUUUUCAUCUUCAACGAGGAAUGCCUAGUAAACGCAAGUCAUCAGCUUGCAUUGAUUACGUCCCUGCCCUUUGUACACACCGCCCGUCGCUCCUACCGAUUGAAUGAUCCGAUGAAUAUCAUGGAUUGAGGAUGCAAGUAGGUUCGCCUAUCUUCAUCUUCGAGAAGUGAAGUAAAUCUUAUCAUUUAGAGGAAGGAGAAGUCGUAACA
RNAcentral lists this ribosomal RNA (329 nucleotides) under uncultured eukaryote. RNAcentral describes it as "partial 18S ribosomal RNA". It matches the Rfam family "Eukaryotic small subunit ribosomal RNA", at positions 1470 to 1796 of the family's 1831-position model. The record is from RNAcentral.